AACGAACGCUGGCGGCAUGCCUAACACAUGCAAGUCGAACGAAGCCUUCGGGCUUAGUGGCGCACGGGUGCGUAACGCGUGGGAAUCUGCCCUUGGGUUCGGAAUAACAGUUAGAAAUGACUGCUAGUACUGGAUGAUGUCUUCGGACCAAAGAUUUAUCGCCCCAGGAUGAGCCCGCGUAGGAUUAGGUAGUUGGUGGGGUAAUGGCCCACCAAGCCGACGAUCCUUAGCUGGUCUGAGAGGAUGAUCAGCCACACUGGGACUGAGACACGGCCCAGACUCCUACGGGAGGCAGCAGUGGGGAAUAUUGGACAAUGGGCGAAAGCCUGAUCCAGCAAUGCCGCGUGAGUGAUGAAGGCCUUAGGGUUGUAAAGCUCUUUUACCAGGGAUGAUAAUGACAGUACCUGGAGAAUAAGCUCCGGCUAACUCCGUGCCAGCAGCCGCGGUAA
RNAcentral lists this ribosomal RNA (449 nucleotides) under uncultured bacterium. Its description in RNAcentral is "partial 16S ribosomal RNA". It matches the Rfam family "Bacterial small subunit ribosomal RNA", at positions 29 to 523 of the family's 1533-position model. The record is from RNAcentral.